CGUAGGUGAACCUGCGGAAGGAUCAUUAUUGAAUUAUGUUUCUAGAUGGGUUGUAGCUGGCUCUUAUGGGGGCAUGUGCACGCCUGUUUGGAUCUUUAUCUUCUUCCACCUGUGCACCUAUUGUAGUCUUUAGUUGGGUCUCGAGGAAGCUUGGUUGACCUAUCAGCAUUUGCUGGAUGUGCAGGACUUGCAGUGUGAAGGGGACUGCUGUCACUUUAGCUUGUCCAUGGUGUCGAUUUCUCACUGGAGUCUAUGUCUUUCAUUAUACUCUGUUGAAUGUUAUGUGACAAAAUGUCUUUUACAUGGGCCUUGUGUGCCUAUGAAAAUUGUAAUACAACUUUCAGCAACGGAUCUCUUGGCUCUCGCAUCGAUGAAGAACGCAGCGAAAUGCGAUAAGUAAUGUGAAUUGCAGAAUUCAGUGAAUCAUCGAAUCUUUGAACGCCUCUUGCGCUCCUUGGUAUUCUGAGGAGCAUGCCUGUUUGAGUGUCAUUAAAUUCUCAACUCUCUUGUACCUUCUUUUGAAAUAAAAUUGGGUAUGACUUGGAUAUGUGGAGGUUUUAGCUGUGUCAGGCUUCUGAUUGAGGUCAGCUCCUCUGAAAUGUAUUAGCGGGCCCCGUCUGUGCGAAUCGUGCUAUUGGUGUGAUAAGUUAUCUGCGCUGGUUAGGCAAUUUCUGCUUUUUUGUGUAUGGGGGUGUACUGCUUCUAACUGUCCUCAGUCUUUUGAGACAACUAAUUUUGACAAUGUUUGACCUCAAAUCAGGUAGGACUACCCGCUGAACUUAAGCAUAUCAAUAAGCGGAGGAAAAGAAACUAACAAGGAUUCCCCUAGUAACUGCGA
Molecule: ribosomal RNA, 838 nt
Filed under: Agaricus sp. BAB-4992
Lineage: Eukaryota; Fungi; Basidiomycota; Agaricomycetes; Agaricales; Agaricaceae
Description: eukaryotic LSU rRNA
Rfam family: 5.8S ribosomal RNA (bases 336-489)
Source: RNAcentral